CUGUCCAACGUUAAUCGGGGCAGGGUGAGUCGACCCCUAAGGCGAGGCCGAAAGGCGUAGUCGAUGGGAAACGGGUUAAUAUUCCCGUACUUGGUGUUACUGCGAAGGGGGGACGGAGAAGGCUAUGUUGGCCGGGCGACGGUUGUCCCGGUUUAAGCGUGUAGGUGUGUGUUCCAGGUAAAUCCGGUUCACUUUAACACUGAGGCGUGACGACGAGGCACUACGGUGCUGAAGCAACAAAUGCCCUGCUUCCAGGAAAAGCCUCUAAGCAUCAGGUAACACGAAAUCGUACCCCAAACCGACACAGGUGGUCAGGUAGAGAAUACCAAGGCGCUUGAGAGAACUCGGGUGAAGGAACUAGGCAAAAUGGUGCCGUAACUUCGGGAGAAGGCACGCUGACACGUAGGUGAAGUGAUUUACUCAUGGAGCUGAAGUCAGUCGAAGAUACCAGCUGGCUGCAACUGUUUAUUAAAAACACAGCACUGUGCAAACACGAAAGUGGACGUAUACGGUGUGACGCCUGCCCGGUGCCGGAAGGUUAAUUGAUGGGGUCAGCGUAAGCGAAGCUCCUGAUCGAAGCCCCGGUAAACGGCGGCCGUAACUAUAACGGUCCUAAGGUAGCGAAAUUCCUUGUCGGGUAAGUUCCGACCUGCACGAAUGGCGUAAUGAUGGCCAGGCUGUCUCCACCCGAGACUCAGUGAAAUUGAACUCGCUGUGAAGAUGCAGUGUACCCGCGGCAAGACGGAAAGACCCCGUGAACCUUUACUAUAGCUUGACACUGAACAUUGAGCCUUGAUGUGUAGGAUAGGUGGGAGGCUUUGAAGUGUGGACGCCAGUCUGCAUGGAGCCGACCUUGAAAUACCACCCUUUAAUGUUUGAUGUUCUAACGUGGACCCGUAAUCCGGGUUGCGGACAGUGUCUGGUGGGUAGUUUGACUGGGGCGGUCUCCUCCUAAAGAGUAACGGAGGAGCACGAAGGUUGGCUAAUCCUGGUCGGACAUCAGGAGGUUAGUGCAAUGGCAUAAGCCAGCUUGACUGCGAGCGUGACGGCGCGAGCAGGUGCGAAAGCAGGUCAUAGUGAUCCGGUGGUUCUGAAUGGAAGGGCCAUCGCUCAACGGAUAAAAGGUACUCCGGGGAUAACAGGCUGAUACCGCCCAAGAGUUCAUAUCGACGGCGGUGUUUGGCACCUCGAUGUCGGCUCAUCACAUCCUGGGGCUGAAGUAGGUCCCAAGGGUAUGGCUGUUCGCCAUUUAAAGUGGUACGCGAGCUGGGUUUAGAACGUCGUGAGACAGUUCGGUCCCUAUCUGCCGUGGGCGCUGGAGAACUGAGGGGGGCUGCUCCUAGUACGAGAGGACCGGAGUGGACGCAUCACUGGUGUUCGGGUUGUCAUGCCAAUGGCACUGCCCGGUAGCUAAAUGCGGAAGAGAUAAGUGCUGAAAGCAUCUAAGCACGAAACUUGCCCCGAGAUGAGUUCUCCCUGAGACUUAGAGUCUCCUGAAGGAACGUUGAAGACGACGACGUUGAUAGGCCGGGUGUGUAAGCGCAGCGAUGCGUUGAGCUAACCGGUACUAAUGAACCGUGAGGCUUAACCUU
Molecule: ribosomal RNA, 1592 nt
Filed under: Salmonella enterica
Lineage: Bacteria; Pseudomonadati; Pseudomonadota; Gammaproteobacteria; Enterobacterales; Enterobacteriaceae
Also listed under: 1 other name
Description: partial 23S ribosomal RNA
Rfam family: Bacterial large subunit ribosomal RNA
Source: RNAcentral